RNAcentral lists this long non-coding RNA (903 nucleotides) under Homo sapiens (human). RNAcentral describes it as "HSALNT0338004". The record is from RNAcentral. Lineage: Eukaryota; Metazoa; Chordata; Mammalia; Primates; Hominidae.
CGCACAGCAAAUGUGCUGAGCAAACACCUCGGCAUUCAUCACUAUGCGGGGGCUGUUUACUGCCUCAUAAACUUGGAAGCAAGUGAUAUUGUCUCCUAAAUCAAUGGCUGCGCGGACAGCCUUGGCGCUCCAGGAGAACAGCACGGCCAGGCCGCGCCCGUGCUGAAAUUAAUGACUGGAGCAGUGACUGGAAGGUGCUUAGUCACUGCCGAGGGGAUUAGGAGCCAUUCCAGGGGACGAGCAGCCAGCCGAUGCUGAUGAGUCGGGGGCCGGAUGCCCCAACCAGAGCUCUGUGAUUAACCAGCUGAGUAAGCCUGCUUGGACCCCCAGAUCAGAAAGAGUCCAUCUCCCUGAGCUUACCACAGUAUGCACUGACCUAUGAUGGCACAAUACAAGACAAAGGCAUGUAAGGAAAAGACCUUUCUGCACCUUCCCCAACUUCCUGCCUCCAACGCUUCUGUGUGAUGAUGUGAUACUUGGAACAUGGUGGCAUCUUGUGACCAUGAGGUGACAGGCUUGGCAUGGACAGCCGUGUGCUGUGGGUGGCAGAGCAGGUAACCAGGAAGCCUGGUGCUGACACCCAUCCUCCUGCACCUAUGCCAGCUGGGACCGCCCACCUCCGGACUUCUGACCGUGUGAGCUGACGGCCUCUCUUCACUGCCUGGUGCCUGUUGGUCAGCUGUUUCGUUACUUGUGAUCAAAAGCAUUCCUGAUGGAUUCAAGACUCUUUGAAGAAACUGGAGCUGUGUCACCUGGAAUCUCUGCUGUCAGCUGCUUGAAUCCCCUCCCAGCAUUUCCACCAACCUGUGCUUAGGCAAUUAGAGAAGGAGGAACUCAGGCCAGGCGCGGUGGCUCACGCCUGUAAUCCCAGCACUUCGGGAGGCCGAGGCGGGCGGAUCAAGA